This 433-nucleotide ribosomal RNA is filed under the name uncultured bacterium. Its description in RNAcentral is "partial 16S ribosomal RNA". It matches the Rfam family "Bacterial small subunit ribosomal RNA", at positions 29 to 507 of the family's 1533-position model. The record is from RNAcentral.
AACGAACGCUGGCGGCAUGCCUAACACAUGCCAGUCGAACGAGACCUUCGGGUCUAGUGGCGCACGGGUGCGUAACGCGUGGGAACCUGCCCUUAGGUUCGGAAUAACUCCCCGAAAGGGGUGCUAAUACCGGAUAAUGUCUUCGGACCAAAGAUUUAUCGCCUUUGGAUGGGCCCGCGUUGGAUUAGCUAGUUGGUAGGGUAAAAGCCUACCAAGGCGACGAUCCAUAGCUGGUCUGAGAGGAUGAUCAGCCACACUGGGACUGAGACACGGCCCAGACUCCUACGGGAGGCAGCAGUGGGUAAUAUUGGACAGUGGGCGAAAGCCUGAUCCAGCAAUGCCGCGUGAGUGAUGAAGGCCUUAGGGUUGUAAAGCGCUUUUACCCGGGAUGAUAAUGACAGUACCGGGAGAAUAAGCUCCGGCUAACUACGUG